Canis lupus familiaris (dog) is the source of this 716-nucleotide long non-coding RNA. RefSeq lists it as uncharacterized. Lineage: Eukaryota; Metazoa; Chordata; Mammalia; Carnivora; Canidae. The transcript is spliced from 3 exons. The record is from RefSeq and is a predicted model, not a curated record.
GAAAAACUUCAAAUCAUGAAGGAAAAGAAGGGACAGGAAGUAAAAUGAGCUGCAGUCGACCAUCCUCAUUCUCAAAAGGCCAAGCAAAGGGUCAAGGGCUGAGGUCACUGCAUCUAAAAAUGGGUGUUACACCCAGGCCUGCCGUGGAUAAAUAUUCAACUUCCUUCCGUAGUAAAACCAUUGAAAAAGGAAUCUUAGAGCUAGAAAAUUAACCUCAAGUGUAUGUGACCCAGACACUGUCCCUGAGCAGGGAAUAUCUAGGGAGACCAUGGUCCAGGGCAGUGCUUCUUAAAUGAUGUGAGUUUCACGAUCCUGGGGGGGAAGAGUCCACCACUUAAAGGAAGUAUUAAGGGAAGACUCCAGGUGCUCUGACCAAGAAAUGUGCCCAGAGGGCUGUUGCCCUGUUUCUAGGCUGCCAGGUGGUUGUCUCACUGCCUUUGCGACCGUCAACCCCGAACAAAAGGAGAACUAAGUGAAGGAGAAGUGAAGAAGAAACAGGAGGGCAACUGGAAGUGUUUGUGACCGUUGCCCUAGCAAUCCAGUUCCGCAGGAGGCCCACCCUGGCUGGAAAGGAAGGCUGAAGCAUGCGGUUGACCAGAGGGAGAACGGGGACUUCUCUGAUGAUUUUCCUUGAGGCUCAUCAUCUAAACACACACUACUGUUUCCCCCUGGGCUUCUCAUGCAAGGAUAUACGGUAUUUCAUGUGAGGAAUGUUC